RNAcentral lists this transfer RNA (71 nucleotides) under Talaromyces pinophilus. Its description in RNAcentral is "tRNA-Gly (CCC) (tRNA-Gly-CCC-1-1)". It matches the Rfam family "tRNA". Rfam says of the family: Transfer RNA (tRNA) molecules are approximately 80 nucleotides in length. Their secondary structure includes four short double-helical elements and three loops (D, anti-codon, and T loops). Further hydrogen bonds mediate the characteristic L-shaped molecular structure. tRNAs have two regions of fundamental functional importance: the anti-codon, which is responsible for specific mRNA codon recognition, and the 3' end, to which the tRNAs corresponding amino acid is attached (by aminoacyl-tRNA synthetases). tRNAs cope with the degeneracy of the genetic code in two manners: having more than one tRNA (with a specific anti-codon) for a particular amino acid; and 'wobble' base-pairing, i.e. permitting non-standard base-pairing at the 3rd anti-codon position. The record is from RNAcentral. Lineage: Eukaryota; Fungi; Ascomycota; Eurotiomycetes; Eurotiales; Trichocomaceae.
GCUGUCGUGGUCCAAGGGUAUGAUACGAUCCUCCCAAGAUCGUGACCCGGGUUCGAGUCCCGGCGACAGCA